Molecule: long non-coding RNA, 515 nt
Organism: Ictalurus furcatus (blue catfish)
Lineage: Eukaryota; Metazoa; Chordata; Actinopteri; Siluriformes; Ictaluridae
Exons: 2
Source: RefSeq, a predicted model, not a curated record
CCCAGAGCCUGCAGCAUACACACUGCUACGCCUCUACACAGGACAGCACAUCGCGGGAAAUCAACAGCGACGCCAGGUACUUCUCCAGCGGCGGGACCGUUCUCAUGGCUCACCUUCUCAAAGCGGUGUGUGUGUUCGUCUCGGAGCGUCCACGGCGUCGAGGGAACAGCGUUCUGCAGCACCUCGUCAGGCCAGAUCUGUCCGACCAGCACCGAGUUUGGGACGAAGCCGAGCGAGGCUGUAGGGGGGCGAGACGGGACGCCUUCCUGCUCCAUCGGGACAGAGAUUCCAGAAACGCACUCGUGAGAGGAUCAUGUCCCGGAUAUAGAAAUAAACUCGAUUUCACAUGCACUAAUAUGUCAGGAAUAAACCUCUGUGUGUGUGCGUGUGUGUGUGUGUGCGUGUGUGUGUGUGUGUGUGCGCGCGCGGUGCUGUUAGAGGAAGCUAAUCAGUGAUGGUGUGAUGCGUUACCACAAGUGUUUUAUUCCUUUUAUACCACAGCAAUCUGCCAACGA